This is a long non-coding RNA of Ahaetulla prasina, 962 nucleotides long. RefSeq lists it as uncharacterized. The record is from RefSeq and is a predicted model, not a curated record. Lineage: Eukaryota; Metazoa; Chordata; Lepidosauria; Squamata; Colubridae. The transcript has 4 exons.
GAAGAUGAAGGCACGCUAGUUGGGAGGAGGGUAGAAAUUAUUCUUGAUCGACCAGCUGGGCUCAUUUGGGUUGAGCUCCGCUCUAAUCCAAGCUGCAAGGUUGUCUUUUCAGAAGCAGACCAGAAGCAAGAAUCUUCCUCGUCCUCUCCUGCCAUUGCUGACUUACUUUCUUCACUCUCGAAUUAGCAAAAAAUUGUCCAUCUGAAGGACAGCAUCACAGAAGAUAAUCCAGUUAAGCAAGCAGAGAAAACCAAGUUGAAAGAACAGGAAGAAGAAACUCUCUUUAGGAAGACGGUGAUGGAAAAAUAUGGUAGCCUUGAGCUGACUGACAAAGAAUGGCAGCUGCUGUACAAUUACUUCCAAAUAAUGACAGCUAUUGAGAACAGUCAACAGCAGUUCCAGUCACAAGCUUCUACCACUGACAAGAUCUUAGACACGUUUUUCGAGACAUCUGAAGAUGACUUCUUCCCUAAAUGAAACAGAGAAAUUCACGAUUCACCAGUUGGAUUUUUCUUUUUUUUUAAUGCUACCAGCAACUGCUGCAGUUAAAAAAGUUGGCAUAGCGGCUUAUUUUGAAGACCUGAUGUUAUGAUACAACACUGUGUUAGAGAAAUCAGGUUGUGAUUCUUAGCAUAUAAGCAGUUUAAACCUAAUUGUCUUGCCAGGCUGGGGAUAGAUAGCAGCCCCAAAUUUCAGAGUUUCAGAGAUUACAGCUCCUUUGGUCCAGAAACAACUUUAUUUUAAUAUUUUCUAUAUUUUUGCCAGAGAGCAAUUUUUCCACCUUCAGAGAAAACUACCUUUGCAUCCAUUUCAAAUUUUAAAAUUUAAAUUAAAAAAAUGAUCUUCAAAGCAAAAGGUUUCAAAUCAAGCAAACUUGGAAUGAAUUUAAAACAUUUUUUUUUUUGCAUACAAAUUGUAGAUGUGUAACUGAUUUAUGGAACCCCUUCAAAGGUGAAAAUAAU